Molecule: ribosomal RNA, 119 nt
Filed under: Pteropus alecto (black flying fox)
Lineage: Eukaryota; Metazoa; Chordata; Mammalia; Chiroptera; Pteropodidae
Source: RNAcentral
GUCUAUGGCUGUGCCACCCUGAGCAAGCCUGUUCCCAUCUGAUCUUGGAAGCUAAGCAGGGUUGGGCUUGGUUAGUAUUUGGAUGGGAGACCACCUAGGAAGACCAGGUGCUGUAGGCA